RNAcentral lists this ribosomal RNA (774 nucleotides) under uncultured Neocallimastigales. RNAcentral's name for it is "partial large subunit ribosomal RNA". It matches the Rfam family "Eukaryotic large subunit ribosomal RNA", at positions 23 to 644 of the family's 3401-position model. Lineage: Eukaryota; Fungi; Neocallimastigomycota; Neocallimastigomycetes; Neocallimastigales. The record is from RNAcentral.
AGAGAGAGACAUGCGCGCAUAUCAAUAAGCGGAGGAAAAGAAACUAACAAGGAUUCCCUUAGUAACGGCGAGUGAAGCGGGAAGAGCUCAAAUUUGAAAUCUUCAAGGUUCUACCUCGACGAAUUGUAGUUUAUAGAAGUGUUUUCUGUUAGUGGAGUGGCAAAAGUUCUUUGGAAUAGGACAUCAUAGAGGGUGAGAAUCCCGUAUUUGGUCAUUCCUCCUAGCGUUGUGAUACACUUUCAACGAGUCGGAUUGUUUGGGAAUGCAGUCCAAAAUGGGUGGUAAAUUUCAUCUAAAGCUAAAUAUUGGCGAGAGACCGAUAGCGAACAAGUACCGUGAGGGAAAGAUGAAAAGAACUUUGAAAAGAGAGUUAAACAGUACGUGAAAUUGUCAAAAGGGAAGCGUUUGACACCAGUGUUGUUUUUCCGAAAAUCAAUUACGAAUGUUUUGUUUCUGAGGAGUGAUGACUUCAUCGGCUUCUCCUUUCUUUACGAAACUUUCUGUAAUGCACUUUUCGGUUAACAAGUCAACAUCAAUUUCUUUUGUUGUAAAAGGGUAUGAGGAAGGUGGCUUUCUUUUCGGAGAAAGUGUUUAUAGCCUUGUGCCUCUGCAAUCGGAGAGAUUGAGGUCUGCAGCGUAGAUCCUUCGGGGUUAGAUACGUUUGUGCUAAGUUAUAGCUUUUCAUAGACAACUUGUUGACUAUGUUUAGUCUUGUAGCUUACUCGCUUACGCUAUUUUACCUACGCUUAGGAUGUUGAUAGUCACAGCGUGUAC